Molecule: ribosomal RNA, 702 nt
Filed under: Phellinus bicuspidatus
Lineage: Eukaryota; Fungi; Basidiomycota; Agaricomycetes; Hymenochaetales; Hymenochaetaceae
Description: eukaryotic LSU rRNA
Rfam family: 5.8S ribosomal RNA (bases 290-443)
Source: RNAcentral
CUUUCCGACCCUUGCUUCUGCGGGAGGAUCAUAUAAUGAGUUUGUAAAGCGGGGCUUCGAGCUGGCGGAAACGCAUGUGCACGGCCCCGCGCUCAAUCCACUCAACCCCUGUGCACUCUAUGGGAGCUAGUAGUCGGAUCUAACACUUGGAGAGGGGAGGCAAGUCGUUUAUCCUUAGGGAUGAACACUUAAUUCUCUUUGAACGGUGCGCCGGCGAACACUUCAAUUUAUUUAUCAACUAUAACUUGUUAUGUUGAAUGUAUUACUCCUCGUGAGUGAAAUAAUAUACAACUUUCAACAACGGAUCUCUUGGCUCUCGCAUCGAUGAAGAACGCAGCGAAAUGCGAUAAGUAAUGUGAAUUGCAGAAUUCAGUGAAUCAUCGAAUCUUUGAACGCACCUUGCGCCCCUUGGUAUUCCGAGGGGCAUGCCCGUUUGAGUGUCAUGUUCAUCUCAAUCCCCAAGUCUUUUAUUUGACUCGGGGUAUUGGACUUGAAGGUUGCUGGUCCCCCCUUGUGACCGGCUCCUUUGAAAUGUAUUAGCUGGACUUUGACUCGCGUUUGUUACGGUGUAAUAGUAACUUGUUCACCGGGCGCUUGUCUAGAGGUCUGCUUCUAAUCGUUUCGGACAAGACGCGUGCUCGUCUUACUUGACCUUUUGACCUCAAAUCGGGGAGGAUUACCCGCUGAACUAAACCUAUCAUA